Oncorhynchus tshawytscha (Chinook salmon) is the source of this 6904-nucleotide long non-coding RNA. Lineage: Eukaryota; Metazoa; Chordata; Actinopteri; Salmoniformes; Salmonidae. The record is from Ensembl.
AUUGAAUCGUAUAACAGUUAAAAUACCUAGGUUGCUAGCUUGAUCUGAAGUUGAUAUAGGUAGAGAUAUAAUGUUCGUUGUGUGCUGUGUUCUUAAUAACGAUAGAUUUGAAUUAUGACGUGAUUCUAGCUAUUAAAACGGCAGACCGCUGGGGGGGGGGGGCUACACUAACUUGAGAAAAAAACAUGUAACUCAGCUUCACGUAAAUCAGGCAUCAAUGUCAGAUUCACUGUGAUAUCCUAUUUACUCACCUGCAUGUAAGGUUGGAGGAUUUUGGGCCCGGGAUGCGUUCUGAAUGGCACGCUAAGCCCUAUGGGCCCUGGUCUAAAAUAGUGUACUAUAUAGGGAACAGGGCCCUGGUCUAAAGUAGUGCACUAUAUAGGGAAUAGGGCCCUGGUCUAAAAUAAUGUACUAUAUAGGGCCCUGGUCUAAAAUUGUGUACUAUAUAGGAAAUAGGGCCCUGGUCUAAAAUAGUGUACUAUAUAGGGAUUAGGGCCCUGGUCUAAAAUAGUGUACUAUAUAGGGAAUAGGGCCCUGGUCUAAAAUAGUGUACUAUAUAGGGCCCUGGUCUAAAGUAGUGUACUAUAUAGGGAAUAGGGUGUCAUUUGGAACAGAGCUCCAGUGUAAAUAGAUAUGUUUGUGCUGGCUGAGUUGCAUUAGGCCCUGUGAUUUGGUGUGUGUCCCCCCCGGUGUGUAUGUAUGCUAGGGUUUGCAUGGUGUUCCUAUUGCCCUACAGUCACGCAGUAUCCUUUUGCCAAACACCCGGAAUUAUUGUUGGGAGAGGGAGUGAGAGAGUCAGGGUGCGAGAGUGCCAUCAUUUAAGUCUUAGAAAAUUGAACCAAGAUAUUAUUUUUAAGCAAUAAGGUCCCGAGGGGGGUUGUGGUAUAUGGCCAAUAUACCACGGUUAAGGGCUUUUCUUAUGCACGACACAAUGCGGAGUGCCUGGAAACAGCCCUUAGCCGUGUUAUAUUGCCCAUAUACCACAAACCCCCAAGGUGCCUUAUUGCUAUUAUAAACUAGGUGGUUCGAGCCCUGAAUGCUGAUUGACCCGACCAUAUGGGGUAUAUCAGACCGGAUACAACGGUUAUGACAACAUGUAUUUUUACUGCUCUAAUUACAUUGGUAACCAGUUUAUAAUAGAGCCCGAGGUGUGGUGUAUAUGGCCAAUAUACCACGGCUAAGGGCUGUGUCCAGGCACUCAGCGUUGCAUCGUACCGGGUACCAUUUGUGAUGGCCACACGUACCGGGUACCAUUUGUGAUGGCCACACGUACCGGGUACCAUUUGUGAUGGCCACACGUACCGGGUACCAUUUGUGAUGGCCACACGUACCGGGUACCAUUUGUGAUGGCCACACGUACCGGGUAUUGAUAUCUAUUAUUCACUGUCGCAUUAGAAAAGUGUACAGCUCCCCUUAUUCUUCUCAUAAGGUGCAUUUUAAAUGACACUUUGUUCCUCUUAGUGCACUCGUUUCGCCACCUAGGGAGCCUCUGGCCAGAGGUAGAGGCCACUCGUUUCGCCACCUAGGGAUACUCUGGCCAGAGGUAGAGGCCACUCGUUUCGCCGCCUAGGGAGUCUCUGGCCAGAGGUAGAGGCCACUCGUUUCGCCGCCUAGGGAGUCUCUGGCCAGAGGUAGAGGCCACUCGUUUCGCCGCCUAGGGAGUCUCUGGCCAGAGGUAGAGGCCACUCGUUUCGCCGCCUAGGGAGUCUCUGGCCAGAGGUAGAGGCCACUCGUUUCGCCACCUAGGGAGUCUCUGGCCAGAGGUAGAGGCACUAUAUCAGACAAGGUGUCAUGCAUCUAACGACAACCAGGGUUUGGCAAGGGAUAAGUGUUUUUUUAUUUUAUUUUUUAGACCGUGACGAACCUAACCGCAACAGAAAUUAAGUUCAGAUGUAUUUGCACAGACACUUCAUGCACACAUGCAUACAACGCCAGCAGACUGCACACGGCUCACACGGAUGAGUGCUACACAAGGAGAAUCAACUUCCAUUAUCCACCUUGUUGAAGGAACGUAAUUGCAUGUUUUCUUUCUGUGCUAUAUUGGGUUUUCAAUGCGGUAUGUUCACUCAAUGUUUUGCCACUUCCUUAUCGGCACUAUUGAGAUUAUGUGCUUCGAUUUUUAUUUUUAAGAAUACACCUACCCACAAUGCAUCACAUUCACAGCAUCCUUUAAAAUCUCUAUUUUUUAUUUAUUAUUUUUUUUAGGAGAAAAUGACAUUUUAAGUUUUGACAUUUUUUUCUUGAGGAAGUGCAGGGGUGAGUACUGUCUGGUAAUAUGCUCAGUUGAAAAAUAUACAGGAUAAAAACAUUAUAGUGAUUUCAUGUGGAGAGUUGGAAAAUAAACACAUUCGUUAGAUUAGCAUUGAAAUCGUGACCAUCAACUGGAUGGAAAAACGUUUCAAAUUCAUAGAAUGAAAAUGUAAAAGUUGUUUGCUGAGCAGUUAGCUGAAAUCCAUUGUUUAUUUCCCACUUUGUUGGUGAACUGCUUACAUUCACUUUGUCAUUUUCAAAUUAAAAAAAAAAAUAAAAAUCAAACUCUUCCACAUGUCAAUUAUUACGUUGUCUUUUAACCUUUUUUUGUUUUAUCUUCAACCUAGGUAUUAUGGAAGCCUUUUCUCCUUUCUGCUACAUGACUGAAAAUAUGGUUAGAUUGAUAUGCCCUUAAGACACAGAUCUAGGAUCAGCUUGCCCUCCUUUAAAUCCUGACCUGUAACAUUUUAAUGGGGCAAAAGCAAAACUGAUCAUAGAUCAGUCUCUGGGUUGAGUGGAGCCUAAACAGUUUAGUGGUGACAGUUUGACUGACCGGCACUGUGUGAGGUAGCGAUAGAUGUACAAUUUGUAUGUCCUCAUCAGUCACAGCUUGUUCUGUGGAUCCACUGUUUCCCCUGGUUGAGCAGAACCAAACUGGUUUGAGGUAAACAAAAUCAGAAUUUACAGAGCUGUUUUUAUUUCAAACGUAAUGCCUAAACUUUCAUUUUGGAAGGACAUCUGUAACUCAUCUUUAAAAAAAAAUAUAUAUAUAUAUAUAUAUAUAUAUUUUACUUGAUAUGCUAGCUAUGAGGACCCUAAUCAUUGCACAUGUUUAUAUAGAAAAUCAUCCCCUAUGGUUAUAUUGUCCUUCCUGACGUGAUGUCUCGGUAGGUUGACCCUGUGAGGAUGCGGGCCAUGACUUUGUACAAUGUCAUAGCUUGUUAUUAUGUUCAAUCUGCAAAAUUGUGUUUUUUCAUGGUCUGCAAAAUGGUGAUUUUUCAUGGUCUGCAAAAAUGGUGAUUUUUCAUGGUCUGCAAAAAUGGUGAUUUUUCAUGGUCUGCAAAAAUGGUGAUUUUUCAUGGUCUGCAAAAAUUGUGAUUUUUCAUGGUCUGCAAUGGUUACGGACACGUUGCCCUUUGGUUGACAUGCAAAAUGUAUUGACGUUGGUGAGAGACUAAGCUUGUCAUUGAUCUAACAUGGACAGUAAGUAACAGUAAUAGGCUAUUAUAGGAAUCUAUGCACUUUGGUCCUCUAAAGGGAAAUGGUUGUCCACAGAACAAGUGUUCCAAACUGACAUUUUGAGACUAAAUAAAUCUUGGAAAACAUGAAAAAAUUUGCUAAAGAACUUUUGACUCUACAUCACUAACAAGUGGGAGGAGCAUUUAUAAAAUCAGAAGUCCUCUCCUUGUUUUUUUUUCUCUCGACUUCUGCGUGCAGUCUACCAACAGACUUCCAGAAAAGUAUAAUAAAAAUAAAAACACAAAAUAAACAAAUAUAUUUAUAUUUAUGAAGAAAAACAAGUGCCAAUCCUGACCAAUUAAAGACUUGAGGGUGAUUUACAAGUAACUUUUGACUUGAUUCAUUUAAUUUUCUUAAUAUUUCCUUGAAUGUGCACACGUUUUGUGCAAAAACAUUGCUGCUCUAUUUUCCUCGUCUUAUAGUUCCAUGAUGUGGUGUCUCUGAAAGUGGCAUUCUCUACUGCUUUUGCACUGUGGGAUUGGGUCAGAACAGUCAUUUUAAAUCGGCAAAAAAAAUAACUAAUUUAUUCCAUCAUGCUGAUCCGUCUAACUAAAUAUUGAUGCUCUCUUUCUUUUUUGUACAGUAUAAUGCAUUGUUGAUUUCACUGUGCAGACCUCACACUGCAGCUGGGGGACAGACAGCCUAGACAUUCGUUAGAAAGAUGCAGGGCCAUCAAGUGUAAUUUUAGCCUGAGGCAAAGACUGCACUGCACAUUAUUAGGGCCCUGAUUUUUUCCUAGUCAGGUCACAUGGUCUGGAAAAGCUCCCGGCCCUGUUUAUCAGGUCAGUUAUCGUAUCAGGCCAAUACAGGGCCACGUUCAGUAGCCAAACGUUGCAAAUGGAAAUGCCACAAAUGGAGAGCCAACGUUGUUCCAUAUUUAACAUGUCAUGUUUGUUUUUUUACAUAGAAAUAUUUCUAUCUGAACGUUUGAAAAAUGUUGCGUUCUUGCUGAACGUGCCCCGAGGUUUCUCCACCUAAACUACCAUGUUUGCACAUAAUGAGUCAAACCCAUCUUAUCACAAAGAACUAAACAGCCAAUUCAAAAUGGACACUAACCGAAGUUUAAAUAAAAAAAAUAAAAAAAUGUAAAAAAUUUUCUUUCUUGAUUUUGAGCAGCUAUACCAUUACAUGGAUAUGGAUGGUUCUAGAAUGUUUCAGUGGCAUAAUCUUCUUGGCUGUCCAGACCCAGUCAAUCAACCAAAACAACCAAUCACUUGUCCUGAGACUUCUCUCAGCUAUUUCUUGAUUUAGCACAAGGACUCAGAGACACUUCUCUUGAGAUGGGAAGCUAAAUGGAAGCUACGUUAUUGGCUGAGAAUGAACAACCUAACAAGUAAUGCAAUAAAUAUUCUCCAAAAGUCGGCCAUCCCAAGAGGUUUAACCUGCGUCCCGAAGUGCACCCUAUUCCCUAUUUAAUGAACAACUUUUGACCAGGAGUCCAUGAAGUUCUGGUCAAAAAAUAGUGCACAAUAUACCCCCACAGUGGAGGUGUAAUAAUACCCAUAAAACCUAGUGGUCAAACGGAAAUAAUUCUAAUAGUGUUUUUUCCAACCAUUAGAUUUUUUUCCCCAUAGGUGAUUUUUAGAAACACUUAAAAUAAGGGCUGUGUUUUGUGUAGGCUUUACCCCGAUGUGAUGUGUUGAUAACCGUGUAGAUCUCUCUAGGACAAGGUGACUCAAUAUUAUUCGGCUCUCUUUUUACUCACAGAAUUGAAAAUACUUAAAAGUAGACAUCAUGCAAGACUACAAAUCCCUGCAUGCUUCUCCAUGUCAUCUCUAGCUGACAUCUUUGCUAACAGGUAUUGUGUCAAUUUAAAACGUGCACAAGACAGUUCACAGAAUUGUACAUUUUAAUUAAAGAAAUGUAGCUAAUUUAUUCAUUAAUCCAUUUAGCUAGCAUUAGAUUAGAAUCCAGAGAUUCUUACCUUUGCCUUGAUACGUCAGUCAUCAUGGUAUUUGUAGUUCUUUAUAAUAGCCACAUUAGCAGCUAAUUAGCAUUUCGUUUUGGUGGGAGAGUACAGGCAAACAUAAUAAGUCACCUUGUCCGGUAGAGAUUUGAGCGGUUAUCAAAACAUCACGUCAGGGUAGCCCACUGAGAUGACUGCAGGGAUUUGGGUCACGGCCAGGGUAAGCCUACACAGCCCAUGUUUUAAGUGUUCCUAAAAAUAAAUAAAAAACUGGGAGAAAUGGAUGAUGGGAAAAAAUUGGUGCCAUUUCCCUGUUUGACCACUAUGUUUUAUAGGCAUUAUGACUCAUACUGUGGUACAUUUUAUAGAGGGAAUAGUGGCAUUUUGGGAGGGAGCUUAAGACUUCUUUUUCAGGUGUUUGCCCUCUUCAAGAGGGCAAUUAACAGAGAUGACUGGUCAACAGUUUCCUAGAACAAAUCUGGGAUGCAGGAAGGUGAAAUUUACAUUAAAAAAAUGAUAAUCAAGUGUCCAAGUGGAACUAUGUGUAUGAUUUAUAAUUUGGGGGGGUGCUUAUAUUUUGUUCUCUUACACACAAGUGUGUAAUGAAAAUAUAUAUAUUUUGUUUGUUGCAUAUCUGACUCCCACUGAGACGACUGCAGGGAUUCAUUUGGGUCACGGCCAGGGUCGCCAUUGUACAAUGCCCCUGUAAAUAUGUCCAUUAGCUGGAGGAAUCAUCCAUAUUUUUUAAUGACUGCUGAAAUGCUUUUUAAGGCAUAGUAAAGGGAUAGGAGUUUUUCCCUUGACCUAAUGACAAGGAGAAACUGUCUGUGUCCCAAAUGGGCACUUAUAUACCCUAUAUAGUGCACUACUUUUGACCAGAGACCUAUUAGGUCCUGGUCAAAAAUGGCGAACCACAUAGGGAAUAGGGUGCCAUUUGCUCUAGUGUCUGUUUCCCUGUCAGGCCCUUUGGUCAGGAAGAACUCCUAGGCAUGGAUUUAAAAAAUAUAUAUAAUUAAAAUACAUUUUGAAAUGGGAUUUUUUUUUUGUCUUCUGGCCUAGAUUGUGUAAAUGUGUAUAACUGAGACAAAGGUGUCUGAAAAUCCCAAGCCACGCCUUAGUGCUUGGCUUUGUCAAAUAAAUGAUGCUAUCUAGGCUAUAAUUGUUUACAAUGCUACAUGUUUAUAAAGUGUUUUUUCAUAUGUCAUAACUGACCAGUCCUGAUGUAUUCUCUGGUCCUCUCAUUUCGCUCUCUUUCAUCAAUGUAUUUAUUUACACAACAAAUAUUUUUAUUCUUUUUUUUUUUGCUUAUGAUAACCCAUAUUAUACUGUGACUUGACAUUACCGACGGUAUGAAUGAGUGACUGAUACACUUCAACUGAACAUGACACACAAACAUGAACACAGAAACAAACAAAUGCAUUAACAAAUAUUAGAAAUGUAUAAAAAAAAUAAACUUGUCCAGUGGAAACUGUACAAAACAAAUCCCCGAGAAAUAAAAUGUUGCAACCC